GCCAGGUGUGGUGGUGCAUGCCUGUAGUCCCAGCUACUUGGGAGGCUGAGGCGGGAGGAUCACUUGAGUCCAGGAGUUCAAGGCUGCAGUGAGCUGUGACCACACCACUGCACUCCAGCCUGGGUGACAGAGUGAAACCCUGUCUCUA
Molecule: unclassified non-coding RNA, 148 nt
Organism: Macaca fascicularis (crab-eating macaque)
Lineage: Eukaryota; Metazoa; Chordata; Mammalia; Primates; Cercopithecidae
Rfam family: Metazoan signal recognition particle RNA
About the family: The signal recognition particle (SRP) is a universally conserved ribonucleoprotein.
Source: Ensembl